This 433-nucleotide ribosomal RNA is filed under the name uncultured bacterium. RNAcentral describes it as "partial 16S ribosomal RNA". It matches the Rfam family "Bacterial small subunit ribosomal RNA", at positions 28 to 507 of the family's 1533-position model. The record is from RNAcentral.
GACGAACGCUGGCGGCAUGCCUAACACAUGCAAGUCGAGCGAACCCUUCGGGUCCAGUGGCCACCGGUUUCGUCACGCGUGGGGACCUGCCCUUAUGUUCGGAAUACCUCCCCGACAGGGGUACUAAUACCGGAUAAUGUCUUCGACCCAAGAAUUUUUUGCCUUUGGUUGUUCCCGCGUUGGAUUCGCUCGUUGGUAGGGUUAAAGCCUACGAAGGCGACCAUCCAUAACUGGUUAGAGAGGAUGAUCAGCCACACUGGGACUGAGACACGGCCCAGACUCCUACGGGAGGCAGCAGUGGGGAAUAGUGGAACAUGGGCGAAAGCCUGAUCCAGCAAUGCCGCGUGAGUGAUGAAGGCCGUAGGGUUGUAAAGCGCUUUUACCCGGGAUGAUAAUGACAGUACCGAGACAAUAAGCUCCGGCUAACUACGUG